UACGUAGGGUGCGAGCGUUAAUCGGAAUUACUGGGCGUAAAGCGUGCGCAGGCGGUCUGUUAAGACCGAUGUGAAAUCCCCGGGCUUAACCUGGGAAUGGCGUUUGGGACUGGGUCGCUAGAGUGUGGCAGAGGGAGGUGGAAUUCCACGUGUAGCAGUGAAAUGCGUAGAGAUGUGGAGGAACACCGAUGGCGAAGGCAGCCUCCUGGGCCAGCACUGACGCUCAUGCACGAAAGCGUGGGGAGCAAACAGG
RNAcentral lists this ribosomal RNA (253 nucleotides) under uncultured bacterium. RNAcentral's name for it is "partial 16S ribosomal RNA". It matches the Rfam family "Bacterial small subunit ribosomal RNA", at positions 524 to 776 of the family's 1533-position model. The record is from RNAcentral.